CCCUUAGAUGUUCUGGGCUGCACGCGCGCUACACUGUCGGAUUCAGCGAGUCAUAUCCUUAACCGAAAGGUUUGGGUAAUCUUUUGAAAGUCCGACGUGAUGGGGAUUGAUCAUCGCAAUUAUUGAUCAUGAACGAGGAAUUCCUAGUAAGCGCGAGUCAUCAGCUCGCGUUGAUUACGUCCCUGCCCUUUGUACACACCGCCCGUCGCUACUACCGAUUGAAUGGUUUAGUGAGAUCUUCGGAUUGGCGCCUACGCGGCUUCUCUGAGGCCACGCUGGAUGCCGAAAAGUUGCUCAAACUGUAUCAUUUAGAGGAAGUAAAAGUCGUAACA
Molecule: ribosomal RNA, 332 nt
Filed under: uncultured eukaryote
Lineage: Eukaryota
Description: partial 18S ribosomal RNA
Rfam family: Eukaryotic small subunit ribosomal RNA
Source: RNAcentral